GAUGAACGCUGGCGGCGUGCUUAACACAUGCAAGUCGAACGGUGAAGGCGGAGCUUGCUCUGCUGGAUCAGUGGCGAACGGGUGAGUAACACGUGAGCAAUCUGCCCCUGACUCUGGGAUAAGCGCUGGAAACGGCGUCUAAUACUGGAUACGAGCUGCGAAGGCAUCUUCAGCAGCUGGAAAGAACUUCGGUCAGGGAUGAGCUCGCGGCCUAUCAGCUUGUUGGUGAGGUAACGGCUCACCAAGGCGUCGACGGGUAUCCGGCCUGAGAGGGUGACCGGCCACACGGGGACUGAGACACGGCCCAGACUCCUACGGGAGGCAGCAGUGGGGAAUAUUGCACAAUGGGCGAAAGCCUGAUGCAGCAACGCCGCGUGAGGGACGACGGCCUUCGGGUGGUAAACCUCUUUUAGCAGGGAAGAAGCGAAAGUGACGGUACCUGCAGAAAAAGCGCCGGCUAACUACGUG
Molecule: ribosomal RNA, 468 nt
Filed under: uncultured bacterium
Lineage: Bacteria
Description: partial 16S ribosomal RNA
Rfam family: Bacterial small subunit ribosomal RNA
Source: RNAcentral